Molecule: ribosomal RNA, 706 nt
Filed under: uncultured Glomeromycotina
Lineage: Eukaryota; Fungi; Glomeromycota
Description: SSU rRNA
Rfam family: Eukaryotic small subunit ribosomal RNA
Source: RNAcentral
GGGUUCGAUUCCGGAGAGGGAGCCUGAGAAACGGCUGCCACAUCCAAGGAAGGCAGCAGGCGCGCAAAUUACCCAAUCCCAAUACGGGGAGGUAGUGACAAUAAAUAACAAUAUGGGGCUCUUACGGGUCUCGUAAUUGGAAUGAGUACAAUUUAAAUCUCUUAACGAGGAACAAUUGGAGGGCAAGUCUGGUGCCAGCAGCCGCGGUAAUUCCAGCUCCAAUAGCGUAUAUUAAAGUUGUUGCAGUUAAAAAGCUCGUAGUUGAAUUUCGGAGUUUGUCGGUUGGUCGGGCUUCACUGUCCGCACUGGCCUGAUGGAUUCCUACCUUCUGAAUAACCAGCAUGCUAUUAAGUUAGUGCGUUGGGGAAGCAGAGCUAUUACCUUGAAAAAAUUAGAGUGCUUAAAGCAGGCUUUUGCUUGAAUAGAUUAGCAUGGAAUAAUAAAAUAGGACGGCAUGGUUCUAUUUUGUUGGUUUCUAGGAUCACCGUAAUGAUUAAUAGGGAUAGUUGGGGGCAUUAGUAUUCAAUUGUCAGAGGUGAAAUUCUUGGAUUUAUUGAAGACUAACUUCUGCGAAAGCAUUUGCCAAGGAUGUUUUCAUUAAUCAAGAACGAAAGUUAGGGGAUCGAAGACGAUCAGAUACCGUCGUAGUCUUAACCAUAAACUAUGCCGACUAGGGAUCGGACGAUGUUAAUUUUUUAAUGACUCG